This 477-nucleotide ribosomal RNA is filed under the name uncultured bacterium. Its description in RNAcentral is "bacterial SSU rRNA". It matches the Rfam family "Bacterial small subunit ribosomal RNA", at positions 358 to 827 of the family's 1533-position model. The record is from RNAcentral.
GGAAUAUUGGACAAUGGGGGAAACCCUGAUCCAGCGAUGCCGCGUGUGUGAAGAAGGCCUUAGGGUUGUAAAGCACUUUCAGUUGGGAGGAAAAGUUUAUGGUUAAUACCCAUAAGCCUUGACGUUACCAACAGAAGAAGCACCGGCUAACUCUGUGCCAGCAGCCGCGGUAAUACAGAGGGUGCAAGCGUUAAUCGGAAUUAUUGGGCGUAAAGCGCGCGUAGGUGGGUUAAUAAGUUGAAUGUGAAAGCCCUGGGCUUAACCUGGGAAUGGCAUUCAAGACUGUUAUGCUAGAGUAUGGGAGAGGGAAGUGGAAUUUACUGUGUAGCGGUGAGAUGCGUAGAUAUCAGAAGGAACACCAGUGGCGAAGGCGACUUCCUGGCCUAAUACUGACACUAAGGUGCGAAAGCGUGGGGAGCAGACCAGAUUAGAUACCCUGGUAGUCCACGCCGUAAACGAUGUCAACUAGCCGUUGGG